RNAcentral lists this ribosomal RNA (714 nucleotides) under uncultured bacterium. RNAcentral's name for it is "bacterial SSU rRNA". It matches the Rfam family "Bacterial small subunit ribosomal RNA", at positions 65 to 774 of the family's 1533-position model. The record is from RNAcentral.
AGCGGGAAGUAGUUUACUACUUUGCCGGCGAGCGGCGGACGGGUGAGUAAUGUCUGGGAAACUGCCUGAUGGAGGGGGAUAACUACUGGAAACGGUAGCUAAUACCGCAUAACGUCUUCGGACCAAAGUGGGGGACCUUCGGGCCUCACGCCAUCGGAUGUGCCCAGAUGGGAUUAGCUAGUAGGUGGGGUAAUGGCUCACCUAGGCGACGAUCCCUAGCUGGUCUGAGAGGAUGACCAGCCACACUGGAACUGAGACACGGUCCAGACUCCUACGGGAGGCAGCAGUGGGGAAUAUUGCACAAUGGGCGCAAGCCUGAUGCAGCCAUGCCGCGUGUGUGAAGAAGGCCUUCGGGUUGUAAAGCACUUUCAGCGAGGAGGAAGGCCAAUAACUUAAUACGUUGUUGGAUUGACGUUACUCGCAGAAGAAGCACCGGCUAACUCCGUGCCAGCAGCCGCGGUAAUACGGAGGGUGCAAGCGUUAAUCGGAAUUACUGGGCGUAAAGCGCACGCAGGCGGUUUGUUAAGUCAGAUGUGAAAUCCCCGCGCUUAACGUGGGAAUUGCAUUUGAAACUGGCAAGCUAGAGUCUUGUAGAGGGGGGUAGAAUUCCAGGUGUAGCGGUGAAAUGCGUAGAGAUCUGGAGGAAUACCGGUGGCGAAGGCGGCCCCCUGGACAAAGACUGACGCUCAGGUGCGAAAGCGUGGGGAGCAAACA